This 799-nucleotide ribosomal RNA is filed under the name uncultured bacterium. RNAcentral's name for it is "bacterial SSU rRNA". It matches the Rfam family "Bacterial small subunit ribosomal RNA", at positions 562 to 1353 of the family's 1533-position model. The record is from RNAcentral.
AAAGGGUGCGUAGGCUGACCGGUAAGUAUCUCGUGAAAUACCUCGGCUCAACCGAGGAACUGCGGGGUAAACUGCCGGUCUUGAGGGAGGUAGGGGUUGCUGGAACGCUCGGUGGAGCGGUGAAAUGCGUAGAGAUCGAGCGGAACGCCGAAGGUGAAGACAAGCAACUGGGCCUCUCCUGACGCUGAGGCACGAAAGCGUGGGGAGCAAACAGGAUUAGAUACCCUGGUAGUCCACGCCGUAAACGAUGCGCACUAGACCGAUGCAGGUCUGACCCUGUGUUGGUCGGAGAGAAAUUGUUAAGUGCGCCGCCUGGGAAGUACGGUCGCAAGGCUAAAACUCAAAGGAAUUGACGGGGGCUCACACAAGCGGUGGAGCAUGUUGCUUAAUUCGAAGCAACGCGAAGAACCUUACCUGGGUUUGACAUGCAUGGAUUAGUUCCUGGAAACAGGAAUGACACUCGCAAGAGUGGAACAUGCACAGGUGCUGCAUGGCUGUCGUCAGCUCGUGCUGUGAAGUGUCGGGUUAAGUCCCUUAACGAGCGCAACCCCUGUCGUUAGUUGCUAACGGGUAAUGCCGAGGACUCUAACGAGACUGCCGGUGUCAAACCGGAGGAAGGUGGGGAUGACGUCAAGUCCUCAUGGCCCUUACAUCCAGGGUUGCAAACGUGCUACAAUGGCGUGAACAAAGCGACGCAAGGCCGCGAGGCGGAGCAAAUCGCAAAAAUCACGCCCCAGUUCAGAUUGGAGUCUGCAACCCGACUCCAUGAAGCCGGAAUCGCUAGUAAUCGCGGAUCAGC